GUCCUCUUGUUUUAUUAUAUGAGGUCAAGCCUGCCCGGUGAUAAUUAUUUAACGGCCGCGGUAUUUUGACCGUGCAAAGGUAGCAUAAUCAUUAGUCUUUUAAUAGGGGGCUGGAAUGAAGGGCUUGACGAGGCGCUAACUGUCUCAAUUAAAUAAGUUAAAAUUUAGCUUUUGAGUUAAAAGGCUCAAAUUCUUUUGGAAGACGAGAAGACCCUAUAGAGCUUUAAUGGUCAAUUUUAAUGGCUGUUGUGUUUCAUUUUUACUGCUGUUGAUUAGACUUUUUUGUUGGGGCGACAAAAGAUAUAUAUUUAACUUUUAUUAUUUAUUAUACAUUUAUUUAUGAUUCUUAGAUCCAUUAUUAUUGAUUAGUAGAAUAAGUUACCUUAGGGAUAACAGCGUAAUCUUCCUCCAGAGCUCGAAUUUACAGGAAGGCUUGCGACCUCGAUGUUGGAUUAAGAUAAUGAUUGGGUGCAGUAGCCCAAUUAAUAGGUCUGUUCGACCUUUAAAUUCUU
RNAcentral lists this ribosomal RNA (512 nucleotides) under Mnais costalis. RNAcentral describes it as "partial 16S ribosomal RNA". It matches the Rfam family "Bacterial large subunit ribosomal RNA", at positions 1829 to 2597 of the family's 2925-position model. Lineage: Eukaryota; Metazoa; Arthropoda; Insecta; Odonata; Calopterygidae. The record is from RNAcentral.